Molecule: long non-coding RNA, 1633 nt
Organism: Gallus gallus (chicken)
Lineage: Eukaryota; Metazoa; Chordata; Aves; Galliformes; Phasianidae
Source: Ensembl
CCAGGCCUGGAUGCAGCAUAACCAACCUUCAGUCAACCAUCGGUCUACUGAAUCUUAUCACCAAACCAUGCUGAAAGUGCCACCUCCACAUUUUCUUAAACAUUUCCAAGAAUUGGGACUGCAUCACUGCCCUGGGCAGGAUGGCAGGUGAAGUGGAGUGUGUUGGGUGAGCAAGGUGUGAGGAGAUGGCCUUCAGCUAGCAACAGUUUAAUUGCAACACAUCCCAACGCAAAAAGAGAAACAGAGCAGAAACUGCACAGCUGAUGGAGUGUGAGGAGAAGAAAUCUGAACAUCAUUGUCUAAGUAAGUAAAACAUGUAAUUUUUUUCAGGCAAAGUAGAAAUGAACACAACGCAUAUAUUUUCUAUGAACUUAAAAAGUACGUGCAGAAGUUGCAUGUAGAUAUGCAGGGGUUAAAUAGGGAGAAAUGAACGAAUGGUCCAGGGAUGUUUUUAAAAAUGCUUCUGGAACAAAGUAAUAAAUGGAAUAGCAGCAUUCGGGAUGGCAGAAGUAGUGCCACUCCAGGUAAGAACAUAGGCUUUGGGACUGGAGUUUAUAGUACAGGAGACUGUUUAUGCAAGACUACCCAGCUCUGGGGCUGUGUGCUAAAUACUGUGAAGAAAGAGAUGGAAUAUAGUAUACACAGAGUCCCUCCUCUGGUAAGACAUUUAACACAUCAUCAGGCAGAUGAGUUGUCCGACUGAAAUCUGGAUGAGCAAGCCUUUAAAAAUCUAUUGGACAUUUACACUGCUAAGUUACAUAUCAAGAAAUAUGAUUCUAUUAAAUAUAAUCCCAUGAAAUACCAGGGAUUUUUGUUCUCCACCAUUUUCAUUUGUGUUAGUUUAGUACUGCUUGGUGGGACAAAUGCUCAGUAAUAAUAACAACCCAUUUUCCUGUCUUUGAGUAACUACUUUUUUUUUCCCCCUGCAGAUCUUUAUAUAAGGCUUCUAGACCUAACUGUCAAAGUUCAUUCAGCUGAGCUAAAAUACAAAACAAGGUAUAAAUAAAACACAGUUUAUGGUUGCAGCCAUUUUUUCUUACCACUUUGCCUGGGAGAGGUCAUGUGUCAUAACUGUGUUUAUUGGUGUUAGUGGCUGUCUUUCUACCAACAAGAAAUGUGCAACUGCCUUUAUGUUGCUGGCAGUUGUAUUGGUAAGGGCACGAUGAGUAAGCUUCACAUGUUUCUAUUAAUACAAAGUUGCUUGUCACUGAUAGCAGUGCUUGCUGUUGCAUAAAGUAAGAAACACUGUCAGAUAACCACUUCUAAAUUGCUAGAAGCUUUUCAAAUGAGCGCUGUGCCAUAAGCUUUGUUCUAAAAGUUCUCCCUUGUACAGUGUCACAGAAGCCUUGUUUCUGUCCGGACGUGAGCAGCCUGUUUGUUUUUUCGUUAUUUGCCAAUUGCAGUGGAAAUGAUGCAGCACAAAAAAACUGCUGACUGAAGAGUCUGUUGUAUUUUCUAGGUACUUAGUGGCUUUGAAAUAAAACUAGAGAUUAUCGCAAGUGCUGCAGUUGUUCAAAUUCAGCUCCUGCCAAGUUUUCACACCACCGAUGCUUCUAAGAACAGAGAAACCUACCUUAGAAGCUUCUUCCCAAUUUGUAUCUUGCUAUUUUCAGUAUUAAAUUUAGAACAGUGU